RNAcentral lists this ribosomal RNA (253 nucleotides) under uncultured bacterium. Its description in RNAcentral is "partial 16S ribosomal RNA". It matches the Rfam family "Bacterial small subunit ribosomal RNA", at positions 524 to 776 of the family's 1533-position model. The record is from RNAcentral.
UACAGAGGCCUCGAGCGUUAGGCGGAAUCACUGGGCUUAAAGCGUGUGUAGGCGGACUGGUAAGUACCUUGUGAAAUCCCACAGCUUAACUGUGGAACUGCUCGGUAUACUGCUGGUCUUGAGCCACUCAGGGGCUACCGGAACAAAUGGUGGAGCGGUGAAAUGCGUAGAUAUCAUUUGGAACGCCAAUGGUGAAAACAGGUAGCUGGGGGUGUGCUGACGCUGAGACACGAAAGACAGGGGAGCAAACGGG